RNAcentral lists this ribosomal RNA (444 nucleotides) under uncultured bacterium. Its description in RNAcentral is "bacterial SSU rRNA". It matches the Rfam family "Bacterial small subunit ribosomal RNA", at positions 28 to 514 of the family's 1533-position model. The record is from RNAcentral.
GGUGAACGCUGGUAACGUGAAUCCCGGCAUGCAAUUCACGGGGGCCGCAAGGCAACCGGCAAACGGUUUAUUAACACGUAGGUACAUACCCUAAAGGGAACCACAGCUCGUCAAAAGACGGGGUAAUUCUCCAUAUUCUCGCAAGAGUAAACCCGUAAGGGGUUUUAGAAAUGGCCUGCGGCCUAUCAAAUUGUUGGCAAGGUAAUACCUCACCAAUUCUAUGACGGGUAGGGGGCGUGAGAGCGCGACCCCCAAAAAUGGCACUGCAACACGGGCCAUACUCCUACGGGAGGCUGCAGUCAAAAAUCUUCCGCAAUGGGCAAAAGCCUGACGGACCGACUUUACUUGAAUGAAAAACCCCUUCGGGGUGUAAAGUUCUUUUCUCUGGAAGGAAUUUAUUGACAGUACCAAAGGAAUAAGGGAAUCCUAUUUCUGUGCCAGCAC